This 243-nucleotide small RNA is filed under the name Nannospalax galili (Upper Galilee mountains blind mole rat). Its description in RNAcentral is "Metazoan signal recognition particle RNA (ENSNGAG00000006748.1)". The record is from RNAcentral. Lineage: Eukaryota; Metazoa; Chordata; Mammalia; Rodentia; Spalacidae.
GCCAGGCGUGGUGGCCCACGGCUUUAAUCCUAGCACUCGGGAGGCAGAGGCAGGCGGAUCUCUGUGAAUUCAAAGCCAGCCUGGUCUACAUAGUGAGUUCCAGGACAGCUGGGGCUACAGGGAAACCCUGUCUCAAAAAGAUUAAAAAAAAAAAAAAAAAAGGUCUCCCUGUAGUCCUAGCUGACCUGUAAUUCACUAUAUAGACCAGUCUGGCCUUGAUCUUACAGAGAUUUGCCUGCUUUU